AUUAGUUUUUUAAUUGAAGGCUAGAAUGAAUGGUUGGACAAGAAAUAAUCUGUCUUAAUUAAAGAUAUUGAAUUUAACUUUUGAGUGAAAAGGCUUAAAUGAUCUGAAGGGACGAUAAGACCCUAUAAAACUUUAUAUUAGGGGUGGAAAUUAGUUUUAUUUAGAGGUUACUAUCUUUAUAAUAUUUGGUUGGGGCGACAGGGAUAAAAGGAAAAGUAACUGUCUUUUUUUAAAACAGUAAUAUUUGGUUGAAUGAUCCUAAAAUGGAUUAAAGAUUAAGUUACUUUAGGGAUAACAGCGUAAUUUUCUUUAAGAGUUCUUAUCGACAGGAAAGUUUGCGACCUCGAUGUUGAAUUAAAGGUUCUUUAUAGAGUAGAAGCUAUAAAAGAAGGUCUGUUCGACCUUUAAAAUUUUACAUGAUUUGAGUUCA
This 430-nucleotide ribosomal RNA is filed under the name Lacunicambarus acanthura. RNAcentral describes it as "partial 16S ribosomal RNA". The stretch from base 80 to 430 matches the Rfam family "Bacterial large subunit ribosomal RNA", at positions 2048 to 2613 of the family's 2925-position model. Lineage: Eukaryota; Metazoa; Arthropoda; Malacostraca; Decapoda; Cambaridae. The record is from RNAcentral.